UAGGGAAUCUUCCACAAUGGACGAAAGUCUGAUGGAGCAACGCCGCGUGAGUGAAGAAGGGUUUCGGCUCGUAAAGCUCUGUUGUUAAAGAAGAACAUAUCUGAGAGUAACUGUUCAGGUAUUGACGGUAUUUAACCAGAAAGCCACGGCUAACUACGUGCCAG
Molecule: ribosomal RNA, 164 nt
Filed under: uncultured bacterium
Lineage: Bacteria
Description: partial 16S ribosomal RNA
Rfam family: Bacterial small subunit ribosomal RNA
Source: RNAcentral